CAAGGUCCCUGACCCAAUGGGGCUUCAGUGGUUGGAGUGGUCCUGGAAUGAAGGCUGUUCUGGUGAGAUGUUUUGAGUCAUCAGCUCAUGGAGUGUCUGUGGGUGGAAGCAAGAGUUUCCAGAGGCCAAGGCCUCCGGGGAUCUAUUCCACUGAUCCUCAGCCAGCCUGUGUGCUCCGUGAGCCCCGAGCCAGCCAGGACACCAUACCCCGCCCCCCGCAGCGGGCUGCAGACCCCCCAGCUCAACUCCACAGAAGCAGGGGGCCCUUUCUGCACAUCCCGGCAUCCGUAAAGCUGCCAGAAACAUCAGAUGGGGUUUAUGGCAUCCUUUUAGCAUGACUGUCUCUUGUGCAAGGCCAAGAAAAACAACACGAAGGGGGAAGAGCGACGAAGAAGGAUGACGUAUCCGCACGCACUCCGCAGUCACUGUCACUGUGUCUUGAGAGUGAAGCUUAGAAAAGCACAGCAUCUUACACAAACAAUUUCUUCUGCAUUGAUAUGGAGCAGGGAGAACGAGACCUGUUCACAAGGCAGAAGUCAGCCCUUUGCAAGAGGAUCCCGUUCUCCCACCCCUUGUCUCAUAGUUUCCUCACCGUGGCUGGGUCUUCUUAAAGCCACUGCCAGGCCUAGGCCUCUGGAGAGAGAGAAGCUCCAGGUCCCUUUAGCCUGACACACUUGGGUGCUGUGUUGACAAGACUGAAGCGCCCACGGUGUUGGAUGCCACAGCACAAACGAUGGAUUCCUUUUAAAGGAACGAAAGUGUAUUUGUGAGCAAUUCCACUUCUGGGUGGGCUGAGAAGCAAGUUGAAGAGUCCAAUUUAACGCACGUAAUAGAUGGAGAUGCUUCUCCAGCAACAACAACAAAAACAACCAGAAACACAGCUCUAGCUGCUGGAGAAAGGUUUGUCAUUUGUCAUCACGCUCCUCAUCCAUCACAGUUGCAGUAAGAGUGGUUAGAGGGAAAAGGUGGAAUCAGUUGUUCACAUUUUUCUUUCUUCCAGGCCAGGCCCUGUGUUGAAGGAAGGAGGAAGAGGAGUGGACUGUGCAUGGAGGAAAAUUCAAUAACGACUGGAAUUCUGGAUGUAGACCCCCUCACCCCCCAGCCUGAGACCACAGCACAGUUUAACCCGGUGAUGGGCACAGAGGGCAGAGACUGCACCAGCACUGCAGACCAGAAUCUUGCUCAGUGUGCCGGUUUGAGAUCCCUUGCUGAGGCCCCACGAGAGUCCCUACUUUGAAGGCAGAAAGGAUGGAAGCAGAACAGGGAGAGAUUUUACAUGGCUUUGUAACGGAACAGCAAGCUUGUGCUAGCCUGUAGACGUGGCCUGCUAGCUGGGGACCGACACAACUGGUGAAAGACAUCGGCCUCACUUCCGGCACCCAAGAGUUAAGCAUUUCUUACUCUUUCUGGGCCUGGCCAUCUCUACUUUGCCUUUUCUUCCCACCUCCCCCUUUUUCCUUAGCAGGAAGGGAAAGGAAGGUACCUUGGAACAGCUGGCAGUCAGCACUGUCCCCAGAAGACUCUAUUAUCGAGGUGGAGGGACUAGAGAGUGGAUUGGUGCCAUUUUGUUAUGGGUUGCGUUCAUUCUUCGAAACCUACGGGCAUGACUGUCAGAUUCAUUGAAGGGAUGGACCUCCCAGAAGCCAAGAGGUAGGAGAUCUUGUGGCCUGGGAAUCAGGAGGCCUGCACCCUGGGAGCCACUCACCAUGGGGUGGGAUUCAGCCCACCCAGCUUCCAAAACAGAGAACAUCAUUCUAGCUUCUGCAUCAUGUUUCCACUGGAAAACCAUUUCUGUUGAAUGGACAUUGACUAAUGCAUGCUUUUCUUCUUACUGACACCAAAGAGAAAGGUCAUGCCUCUUAUCAUUAGGACAUUCUUGUAGGGGCACCAGAGUAAUCUCAACCACUUUGAGUAACAGGAUUAAGUCUGUUGGGGCAUCAGAAGGGGAGUUUGUCAUUACUGUUUCCCCUGAGAUCAGGGUUGAUUAUCACACUGGCCACCAUAUUUGCCUUUUCCUGACCUGUUUUGUCAGGUGAGUCGGCAACUUUACCCAUAGCCAUCCACCCGCCUGGGGAAGACACAUCUGUAAAAAAUUAGACCAGUUGGUGUUUCGGCACCUGCUAGGUGGACGUAGCAGUACAUUUAGGAAGUUCCUCAUUAUGACUAGUCUUCGUUUCUCUUGUCGUAAUCUAAAUAUACUUCCUUGAUUCUUCUUUUCAAGUUUGACGGAGAAAUAAUUGACAUACAACACUGUAUAAGCUUAAGGGGGCCAGCAUGAUGUUUUGAUUUACAUAGACUGUGAAAUGAUUACCCGCAAUGGGUUCAGCUAACGUCCAUCUUCUCAUGUAGAUAUGAUGAAAAGAAAACAAAGAAAAAGGAAAAAACUUUUCUCCUUGUGAUGAGAACUCGUAGGAUUAACUCUCUUAACAACUUUCCUGUCUAUCAGACAGCAGUGUUCACUGUAUGUUGUACAUGUAACAUCAUGUUGUAUGUUUCAUCGCUCGUACUUAUUUAUCUUAUAACUGGAAGUUUGUACCUUCUGACCACGUUCCUCCUAUUGCUGUGAUUCUUGCAACAAGCCGGUGAGCUGAGGCUGGUUGGACAGCCCAAAACUCUGAAUUAAUUCUCUUGGGUGAAACGCUGGGUGUGGCUGUUUUUCCGCUGGAGGUGACAAAAAAGAGGUGGGGGAUCUAUUUAGGUUUCAUUUGAGGCAGAGAUCUGGCCUUGCUGGGUUUCCUUGUUUGUUUAUAAACUGCUUAAAUGAGGUUUUUUCCUCCUCUCUCCGUUUCUCUCCUUCUCUUAUCCUAACAGUCUCAUAGGUAAACUUAGAAGGAAGACAAAUACUUCUCAAACUGUCACCGAGGGUGCCGUAAAAGAGACAUUUGGACAGUGGUGCUGGGAGAUCCUUGUCUUUGCUCCAUGUUAAUACAAAGGGAUUGGGGUAGCCCAGAUCACCAGGGGAGGGCGGUUUUUCUUCAUUUAGCUUUUAAUUGCUUUCUUUCACUUUUAUGUAUAAAAGAUUGUCCAUUUAAUUAACUCAAGAAUGCAAUUUCAAAAACACUAAUGCUUUACACAUGAUGGCUUUUAAAAUAAAAGUAGCAUUCUAAUAU
Molecule: long non-coding RNA, 3110 nt
Organism: Equus quagga
Lineage: Eukaryota; Metazoa; Chordata; Mammalia; Perissodactyla; Equidae
Exons: 8
Source: RefSeq, a predicted model, not a curated record